UACGUAGGGGGCAAGCGUUGUCCGGAAUCAUUGGGCGUAAAGAGCGUGUAGGCGGUUCGGUAAGUCGGCUGUGAAAGUCCAGGGCUCAACCCUGGGAUGCCGGUCGAUACUGCCGGACUAGAGUUCGGAAGAGGCGAGUGGAAUUCCCGGUGUAGCGGUGAAAUGCGCAGAUAUCAGGAGGAACACCGGUGGCGAAGGCGGGUCUCUGGGCCGAUACUGACGCUGGAGGAGCGAAAGCGUGGGGAGCGAACAGG
RNAcentral lists this ribosomal RNA (254 nucleotides) under uncultured bacterium. Its description in RNAcentral is "partial 16S ribosomal RNA". It matches the Rfam family "Bacterial small subunit ribosomal RNA", at positions 524 to 776 of the family's 1533-position model. The record is from RNAcentral.